This 396-nucleotide ribosomal RNA is filed under the name uncultured bacterium. RNAcentral describes it as "partial 16S ribosomal RNA". It matches the Rfam family "Bacterial small subunit ribosomal RNA", at positions 360 to 773 of the family's 1533-position model. The record is from RNAcentral.
AAUAUGGGUCAAGGGGCGAAAGCCUGAUACAGCAAUGCCGCGUGAGGUAUGAAGGCCUUAGGGUUAUAAAGAUCUUUUUGUGGGGAAGUGAAUGACGGUACCACGAGAAGAAGCUCCUGCUAACUUCGUGCCAGGAGCCGCGGUAAUACGAAGGGGGCUAGCGUUGUCCGGAUUUACUGGGCGUAAAGCGCACGUAGGCGGAUUGGUCAGUUAGGGGUGAAAUCCCAGAGCUCAACUCUGGAACUGCCCUUAAUACUGCCAGUCUAGAGUCCGGAAGAGGUGAGUGGAACUCCUAGUGUAGAGGUGGAAUUCGUAGAUAUUAGGAAGAACACCAGUGGCGAAGGCGGCUCACUGGUCCGGUACUGACGCUGAGGUGCGAAAGCGUGGGGAGCAAAC